This 400-nucleotide ribosomal RNA is filed under the name uncultured Glomeromycotina. RNAcentral describes it as "SSU rRNA". It matches the Rfam family "Eukaryotic small subunit ribosomal RNA", at positions 569 to 973 of the family's 1831-position model. The record is from RNAcentral. Lineage: Eukaryota; Fungi; Glomeromycota.
AGCAGCCGCGGUAAAUUCCAGCUCCAAUAGCGUAUAUUAAAGUUGUUGCAGUUAAAAAGCUCGUAGUUGAAUUUCGGGAUCAGAUUGUCGGUCGUGCCUCGGUACGUACUGGCAUUAUUGGUUCCUACCUUCUGAAGAACCGCGAUGUCAUUAAUUUGGUGUCGUGGGGAAUCAGGACUGUUACUUUGAAAAGAUUAGAGUGUUUAAAGCAGGCGCACGCUUGAAUACAUUAGCAUGGAAUAAUGAAAUAGGACGUUUGAUUCUAUUUUGUUGGUUUCUAGGAUUGACGUAAUGAUUAAUAGGGAUAGUUGGGGGCAUUAGUAUUCAAUUGUCAGAGGUGAAAUUCUUGGAUUUAUUGAAGACUAACUACUGCGAAAGCAUUUGCCAAGGAUGUUUUCAU